UACGGGGGGGGCAAGCGUUGUUCGGAAUUACUGGGCGUAAAGGGCUCGUAGGCGGCCAACUAAGUCAGACGUGAAAUCCCUCGGCUUAACCGGGGAACUGCGUCUGAUACUGGAUGGCUUGAGUUUGGGAGAGGGAUGCGGAAUUCCAGGUGUAGUGGUGAAAUGCGUAGAUAUCGGGAGGAACACCAGUGGCGAAGGCGGCUUCCUGGCCUGCUCUUGACGCUGAGGCGCGAAAGCUAGGGUAGCAAACGGG
RNAcentral lists this ribosomal RNA (253 nucleotides) under uncultured bacterium. RNAcentral describes it as "partial 16S ribosomal RNA". It matches the Rfam family "Bacterial small subunit ribosomal RNA", at positions 524 to 776 of the family's 1533-position model. The record is from RNAcentral.